RNAcentral lists this ribosomal RNA (421 nucleotides) under uncultured bacterium. RNAcentral's name for it is "bacterial SSU rRNA". It matches the Rfam family "Bacterial small subunit ribosomal RNA", at positions 355 to 774 of the family's 1533-position model. The record is from RNAcentral.
UAAGGAAUAUUGGUCAGUGGACGCAAGUCUGAACCAGCCAUGCCGCGUGAAGGAUGAAGGUCCUCUGGAUUGUAAACUUCUUUUAUCUGGGACGAAAACGGGAUUUUUAUCUCAAUUGACGGUACCAGAGGAAUAAGCACCGGCUAACUCCGUGCCAGCAGCCGCGGUAAUACGGAGGGUGCGAGCGUUAUCCGGAUUUACUGGGUUUAAAGGGUGCGUAGGUGGGCUUAUAAGUCAGUGGUGAAAUCUCCGAGCUUAACUUGGGAACUGCCAUUGAUACUAUAUAUCUUGAAUACCGUAGAGGUAAGCGGAAUAUGUCAUGUAGCGGUGAAAUGCUUAGAUAUGACAUAGAACACCAAUUGCGAAGGCAGCUUGCUACACAAUCAUUGACGCUGAGGCACGAAAGCGUGGGGAUCAAACA